GGAAUACAAACAGGUUCUCAUAUGCUCUCUCUCUCUCUCUCUUUCUCACAAAAUCAAACACCACCAAACCUCACCGCGAUCCGCUCAUCUCGCCAUCGCUCACCGCCAUGCGACGUCGCACAUCGCCACAGAUGCAAAUCACAGUCGCACAUCACAAUUGUCUCGCCUCCAGCUUACAUUCAGGUUUUGUUGCAAUGUGGGCAAGCUUUUGGAUCUAAAUCGCGGUCAAUAUUGAAAUCAGUUGCAGUUGGAGCCCAUUCACCAUGGUGAGCAGCCAAAUAGCAAAUGUAGCCCGAAUUUUGGUGAAGGUUUCAGAAAAUGAAAAGGUAUGCCUCGGCACUAAGUAGAAACUAUCAUUUUACUGCAAGUGACGAAAGCUACUUUUACUGUCAACAAUUUAUCAUUUUACUGGAAACAUUGUAAUCUGUCUUUAUUUCCAUCAAUUUUUAUAGUCAACAUACUGGUAUUCUCUGUUUGCAUUUA
Non-coding RNA from Camellia sinensis, 483 nucleotides. NCBI's taxonomy places the organism in Eukaryota, Viridiplantae, Streptophyta, Magnoliopsida, Ericales, Theaceae. The record is from RefSeq and is a predicted model, not a curated record.